GCCAGAGCUAAUUAGCAGUGAGAUUGUUGCUGUGGCUCAGAGGGUUUCAUAGGGCGGCUCUUCGUGGCUUCAGCAUGGGUGCACACCAAGGGAUGACGUGAAUAGCGAUCCUGACAGUUGUGUUUUCAUCAGGGAGCUGCUGUGACCCUCUCGUUGGAAUGCCGUGAAUAUGAUGUGGCCCCUUCCCAGCCCAGCGUCCGCAGAAGUGGAAGGGAAAUGGCAGUGAGGCCUCAUGUGGCAGGUGGUUUUCCAAAGCUAACUACAAAGCUGUUGCCACGCCUAUGGUCUUCUGUGAACUUGCCACCCUGUGAUGGUGGAGCCUCUGCGUGGUGGAAUCCUGGAAUCCGACUGCAUGGAGCAUCGGAAUAUGGUGAAAAAUCACUCCGUUCCUCGUGUGGAUAGCCCCUUGGAAGCUGCCGUCCUGUAAGGAGGGGCACCUGGAGACUUCCCGACUGGGAAGAGCUCACAUCUUGUGGAGUUUGGGGGCUGCGGAGACAGAGCAAGACAAGGAGGCUGAGGCACCCGCUGAUGGUGCUUGGGUCAGAGACACAUCCUCUGUGCCUGUCCUCCCAAUCCCUGACCUGUAAAAUAAUGAG
This 596-nucleotide long non-coding RNA is filed under the name Homo sapiens (human). RNAcentral describes it as "HSALNT0273417". Lineage: Eukaryota; Metazoa; Chordata; Mammalia; Primates; Hominidae. The record is from RNAcentral.